Molecule: ribosomal RNA, 420 nt
Filed under: uncultured bacterium
Lineage: Bacteria
Description: partial 16S ribosomal RNA
Rfam family: Bacterial small subunit ribosomal RNA
Source: RNAcentral
AAUAUUGGACAAAGGGGGCAACCCUGAUCCAGCCAUGCCGCGCGUGUGAAGAAGGUUNNNGGAUUNUCAAGCACUUUAAUGUUNGUGNCGGGGCUUUAGUCUAAUACCCUGAAGUUUGGACGUUACCAACAGAAUAAGCACCGGCUAACUCUUUCCCAGCAGCCGCGGUAAUACAGAGGGUGCAAGCGUUAAUCGGAAUUACUGGGCGUAAAGCGCGUGUAGGUGGUUCAGUAAGAUGGGUGUGAAGUCGCCGGGCUUAACCUGGGAACUGCUUUCAUAACUGCUGAGCUAGAGUAAGGUAGGGGGUAGUGGAAUUUCAUGUGUAGCGGUGAAAUGCGUAGAUAUAGGAAGGAACACCAGUGGCGAAGGCGACUACCUGGACUGAUACUGACACUGAGGUGCGAAAGCGUGGGGAGCAAA